CCUACGGGUGGCAGCAGUAGGGAAUUUUCCACAAUGGGGGCAACCCUGAUGGAGCAACGCCGCGUGCAGGAUGAAGGCCUUCGGGUUGUAAACUGCUUUUAUCUGUGACGAAUAUGACGGUAGCAGAUGAAUAAGGAUCGGCUAACUCCGUGCCAGCAGCCGCGGUCAUACGGAGGAUCCAAGCGUUAUCCGGAAUUACUGGGCGUAAAGAGUUGCGUAGGUGGCAGGGCAAGUUAGUAGUGAAAUCGUGUGGCUCAACCAUACACCCAUUACUAAAACUGCCCAGCUAGAAGACGAGAGAGGUAGAUGGAAUUCCCAGUGUAGGAGUGAAAUCCGUAGAUAUUGGGAGGAACACCGAUGGCGUAGGCAGUCUACUGGCUCGUUCUUGACACUAAGGCACGAAAGCGUGGGGAGCAAACGGGAUUAGAUACCCUAGUAGU
This 440-nucleotide ribosomal RNA is filed under the name uncultured bacterium. RNAcentral describes it as "bacterial SSU rRNA". It matches the Rfam family "Bacterial small subunit ribosomal RNA", at positions 338 to 794 of the family's 1533-position model. The record is from RNAcentral.